RNAcentral lists this microRNA precursor (208 nucleotides) under Oryza meridionalis. RNAcentral describes it as "MIR812 microRNA precursor family". It matches the Rfam family "MIR812 microRNA precursor family". Lineage: Eukaryota; Viridiplantae; Streptophyta; Magnoliopsida; Poales; Poaceae. The record is from Rfam by way of RNAcentral.
AAUAAGUACGGUUCCACACUGAUCAUGUUUAAUAUUUGACUGUUUGUCUUAUUUAAAAAACCUUUUAUGAUUAGUAUUUUUAUUGUUAUUAGAUGAUAAAACAUGAAUGGUACGUUAUGUGUCUAAUUCUUCUUAGUUUUUUUUAUAAAUUUUUCAAAUAAAACGGACAGUCAAGCAUUGGAUACAGAUAUUUACAACUAUGCUUAUU